This 451-nucleotide ribosomal RNA is filed under the name uncultured bacterium. RNAcentral's name for it is "SSU rRNA". It matches the Rfam family "Bacterial small subunit ribosomal RNA", at positions 26 to 518 of the family's 1533-position model. The record is from RNAcentral.
AGAGCGAACGCUGGCGGCAGGCCUAACACAUGCAAGUCGAGCGGCCGUAGCAAUACGGCAGCGGCAGACGGGAGAGUAACACGUGGGAACGCGCCCUUCGGUUCGGAAUAACUCAGGGAAACUUGGGCUAAUACCGGAUACGCCCUUACGGGGAAAGAUUUAUUGCCGAAGGAACGGCCCGCGUCCGAUUAGCUUGUUGGUGAGGUAACGGCUCACCAAGGCGACGAUCGGUAGCUGGUCUGAGAGGAUGACCAGCCUCACUGGGACUGAGACACGGCCCAGACUCCUACGGGAGGCAGCAGUGGGGAAUAUUGGACAAUGGGCGCAAGCCUGAUCCAGCCAUGCCGCGUGGGUGAUGAAGGCCCUAGGGUUGUAAAGCCCUUUCGGCGGGACGAAGCGAAAGUGACGUACCUGCAGAAGAAGCGCCGGCUAACUACGUGCCAGCAGCCGC